GAUGAACGCUGGCGGCGUGUCUAAUACAUGCAAGUCGAGCGAACGGACGAGAAGCUUGCUUCUCUGAUGUUAGCGGCGGACGGGUGAGUAACACGUGGAUAACCUACCUAUAAGACUGGGAUAACUUCGGGAAACCGGAGCUAAUACCGGAUGAUAUUUUGAACCGCAUGGUUCAAAAGUGAAAGACAGUCUUGCUGUCACUUAUAGAUGGAUCCGCGCUGCAUUAGCUAGUUGGUAAGGUAACGGCUUACCAAGGCAACGAUGCAUAGCCGACCUGAGAGGGUGAUCGGCCACACUGGAACUGAGACACGGUCCAGACUCCUACGGGAGGCAGCAGUAGGGAAUCUUCCGCAAUGGGCGAAAGCCUGACGGAGCAACGCCGCGUGAGUGAUGAAGGUCUUCGGAUCGUAAAACUCUGUUAUUAGGGAAGAACAUAUGUGUAAGUAACUGUGCACAUCUUGACGGUACCUAAUCAGAAAGCCACGGCUAACUACGUG
This 497-nucleotide ribosomal RNA is filed under the name uncultured bacterium. Its description in RNAcentral is "partial 16S ribosomal RNA". It matches the Rfam family "Bacterial small subunit ribosomal RNA", at positions 28 to 507 of the family's 1533-position model. The record is from RNAcentral.